CCCCUUCUCCUGCGGGGACGGAUCGCCUAUAUUCCAUCCUGCCAGCGACGGUUGGCUAUGGCGAUAAACGAAGUGCGGAAUAAGCCUUUCGGACCCGGGGGCGGUACCCGGCGCCUCCACCCAAGCGGCCUGCUCCUUCCUUGCGGGGAGCCGGCCGUUUCGGCGGGGGCGAAAUAGGAUCGACGAGGGUGUAAAGGCAUUUUUUUCGCUCGGCAUGGUUCCGCCGAUAUCGGGCCACCUUUGUAGUUGCGAAUGACAACUAUGCCGAGGCACGUCUCGCUGCGUAAGCGGCGCGACACCUCAAAUUAAGUCCUCCUACCGCAAGUAGGAGGCGGGGUCGGGAGGCACCUGGCAACAGAAGCCCCCACU
This 369-nucleotide transfer-messenger RNA is filed under the name Acuticoccus sediminis. Its description in RNAcentral is "Alphaproteobacteria transfer-messenger RNA". It matches the Rfam family "Alphaproteobacteria transfer-messenger RNA". Rfam says of the family: Bacterial tmRNA, also known as 10Sa RNA or SsrA, is named for its dual tRNA and mRNA-like properties. Its role is to liberate the mRNA from a stalled ribosome. Lineage: Bacteria; Pseudomonadati; Pseudomonadota; Alphaproteobacteria; Hyphomicrobiales; Amorphaceae. The record is from Rfam by way of RNAcentral.